Molecule: long non-coding RNA, 921 nt
Organism: Magallana angulata
Lineage: Eukaryota; Metazoa; Mollusca; Bivalvia; Ostreida; Ostreidae
Exons: 3
Source: RefSeq, a predicted model, not a curated record
UCCAGGUUAUUUCAACUCUUUAUCAAUAAUGAAUUCCUUUUGUUUCUAGGUUCUUCCCAGUUGGCAUGUAUUUAUUGAUGUCCACAUUUGGUAAUUGUUAACACUGUUUUGUUAGAAAUUGUAAAUGCUACACAAGUAAAAAAAAUCGUCAAGCAUAAAAUUUCUUUGAAUUAUAUUCUUAAAUGGUUUUGUAAGACUUUAAUUUCGUUGCUUCCAAAUAUCUCAAAUGUCAUUAGAAACUUUGAUGUAGUUGAUCACAUUUCUAGCUUAGGUGUGGUAUGUAGUCGCAAAGAUAUUUGAUCUUUAAUCAACUUUUGCACAACAAAAAUUUAAUAUCCUCCCUACUGUUUCUGCGUGUAAUUUCAACAAUACGUGUAAAUUAAAAUCGUACAUGUUAUUGUUAAUCAGGUGUUACUGCUGUCCUCGCCAAGUUCUACCUUGAAAUCGUUUUACCCGGUGAAAUCAUGCAGUGACAAACCUGAUGAGAUGCUUCAAAACUGUACGCAAGCUGAUGAGACUAUUCACUGCCUCUCGGAUGAACACAACAACACUGGUAUCGGCUGUUUCACAGUGGCUUGGAUAAACAAAGAUAAAUGUCCGUAUUAUGAUUCUUACCAAGGAAGUAUGGAUGAAAAAACAUGUUCUAAAGAGGAUGGCAAUUGUCCUACGAAACUGUAUAAAUCACCAUUAUCAAUUAAAUCGAAAAAUGCGAGAGUGGUUGGAGGAUCGGGUUCUUUGUUCUUGUUGCCAUAUUCCCUCUGGCUUUAGCUGCAGUCGUCUUUGUUAUGAAAAACAAACGUUGUCGUCCUUGCAAUAAAGAGAGAAGCGGGAAAAGUAAAAAAGGUAAAAGUGUAGAUUUAAAAAAUUCAAAUUCAAUGUAAUAAAUACAGUUACAAUUGAUACACACUCGAUUUAUACCUU